GUGCCAGCCUCCGCGGUAAUACGAAAGGUGCGAGCGUUAAUCGGAAUUACUGGGCGUAAAGCGCGCGUAGGCGGCUAUUUAAGUCUGAUGUGAAAUCCCCGGGCUCAACCUGGGAAUGGCAUCGGAUACUGGGUAGCUAGAGUGCAGUAGAGGGAGGUGGAAUUCCAGGUGUAGCGGUGAAAUGCGUAGAGAUCCGGAGGAACACCAGUGGCGAAGGCGGCCUCCUGGACUGACACUGACGCUGAGGUGCGAAAGCGUGGGGAUCAAACAGGAUUAGAUACCCUGGUAGUCCACGCCGUAAACGAUGUCUACUAGCCGUUGGUGCCCUUAGUGGUGCUGGUGGCGCAGCUAACGCAAUAAGUAGACCGCCUGGGGAGUACGGCCGCAAGGUUAAAACUCAAAUGAAUUGACGGGG
This 415-nucleotide ribosomal RNA is filed under the name uncultured prokaryote. RNAcentral's name for it is "bacterial SSU rRNA". It matches the Rfam family "Bacterial small subunit ribosomal RNA", at positions 505 to 918 of the family's 1533-position model. The record is from RNAcentral.